GGAUUGUGGCUCAGCGGUAGAGUGCUCGCCUAGCAGGUGCGGGGCCCUGGGUUCGAUCCUCAACACCA
Molecule: transfer RNA, 68 nt
Filed under: Marmota monax (woodchuck)
Lineage: Eukaryota; Metazoa; Chordata; Mammalia; Rodentia; Sciuridae
Description: tRNA.Ala
Source: RNAcentral